CCUGGCGCGAUUGGAUGAGCCCACGUCGGAUUAGCUAGUUGGCGGGUAAAGGCCCACCAAGGCGACGAUCCGUAGCUGGUCUGAGAGGAUGAUCAGCCACACUGGAACUGAGACACGGUCCAGACUCCUACGGGAGGCAGCAGUAGGGAAUAUUGGACAAUGGGCGCAAGCCUGAUCCAGCCAUGCCGCGUGAGUGAAGAAGGCCCUCGGGUUGUAAAGCUCUUUUGUCCGGAAAGAAAAGCGCCGGGUUAAUACCCUGGUGUCCUGACGGUACCGGAAGAAUAAGCACCGGCUAACUUCGUG
This 303-nucleotide ribosomal RNA is filed under the name uncultured bacterium. RNAcentral's name for it is "bacterial SSU rRNA". It matches the Rfam family "Bacterial small subunit ribosomal RNA", at positions 211 to 507 of the family's 1533-position model. The record is from RNAcentral.